AUUGAACGCUGGCGGCAUGCUUUACACAUGCAAGUCGAACGGCAGCGCGGGCUUCGGCCUGGCGGCGAGUGGCGAACGGGUGAGUAAUACAUCGGAACGUGCCCAGUAGUGGGGGAUAGCUCGGCGAAAGCCGGAUUAAUACCGCAUACGACCUGAGGGUGAAAGCGGGGGAUCUUCGGACCUCGCGCUAUUUGAGCGGCUGAUGGCAGAUUAGCUAGUUGGUGGGGUAAAGGCCUACCAAGGCGACGAUCUGUAGCUGGUCUGAGAGGACGACCAGCCACACUGGGACUGAGACACGGCCCAGACUCCUACGGGAGGCAGCAGUGGGGAAUUUUGGACAAUGGGCGAAAGCCUGAUCCAGCAAUGCCGCGUGUGUGAUGAAGGCCUUCGGGUUGUAAAGCACUUUUGGCGGGAACGAAAAGGACUGUGCCAAUACCACGGUUCGAUGACGGUACCCGCAGAAUAAGCACCGGCUAACUACGUG
This 484-nucleotide ribosomal RNA is filed under the name uncultured bacterium. RNAcentral describes it as "partial 16S ribosomal RNA". It matches the Rfam family "Bacterial small subunit ribosomal RNA", at positions 30 to 507 of the family's 1533-position model. The record is from RNAcentral.